Leptonychotes weddellii (Weddell seal) is the source of this 339-nucleotide non-coding RNA. The record is from RefSeq and is a predicted model, not a curated record. Lineage: Eukaryota; Metazoa; Chordata; Mammalia; Carnivora; Phocidae.
CUUCCAGCUUGAUGAAAUAUUCCUAGAGGAACUUAACAUGAAGUGGAUGGCCAGCUGGGAAAAAGGGAGUAUUUGAAAUGUUGGUCCUGGUGUUAUCUCAAACAUGGAACAAAGGUGCCUCUUCUAAUCCUUCUCUCAAAAGCAGCAACAAGGUCAAGGCUGUUAGCGAUGGCAAAAUUUGACUGGAGUUUUGGGAGCCUCAUGGAGCCGUUUUCAGCCACGUCCCCAACUGACUGUAACUGGCAGAUUCAUCCCUGCAGGUAACUCGUCCAGGAAUAUAGAAGCAGAAAGCAGGGAAACUACAUACGCAGAGUCAAGACAAUAAAUUGCCUCUUCCAG